AACUGAUACUACCUGCGGGAACCUGCGGAGGGAUCAUUAUCGAGUAUUGAAUGGGUUGUAGCUGGCCUUCCGAGGCAUGUGCACGCCCUACUCAUCCACUCUACACCUGUGCACUUACUGUGGGUUUCAGAUCGUGAAGCGAGUCCUUUCACGGGGCUCGGGGAGCGUCUGUGCCUACGUUUACCACAAACACUACAAAGUAUUAGAACGUGUAUUGCGAUGUAACGCAUCUAUAUACAA
RNAcentral lists this unclassified non-coding RNA (240 nucleotides) under soil metagenome. RNAcentral describes it as "partial contains 5.8S ribosomal RNA, internal transcribed spacer 2, and large subunit ribosomal RNA". The record is from RNAcentral.